GAUGAACGCUGGCGGCGUGCCUAAUACAUGCAAGUCGAGCGAACAGACGAGGAGCUUGCUCCUCUGACGUUAGCGGCGGACGGGUGAGUAACACGUGGAUAACCUACCUAUAAGACUGGGAUAACUUCGGGAAACCGGAGCUAAUACCGGAUAAUAUAUUGAACCGCAUGGUUCAAUAGUGAAAGACGGCUUUGCUGUCACUUCUAGAUGGAUCCGCGCCGCAUUAGCUAGUUGGUAAGGUAACGGCCUACCAAGGCAACGAUGCGUAGCCGACCUGAGAGGGUGAUCGGCCACACUGGAACUGAGACACGGUCCAGACUCCUACGGGAGGCAGCAGUAGGGAAUCUUCCGCAAUGGGCGAAAGCCUGACGGAGCAACGCCGCGUGAGUGAUGAAGGUCUUCGGAUCGUAAAACUCUGUUAUUAGGGAAGAACAAAUGUGUAAGUAACUAUGCACGUCUUGACGGUACCUAAUCAGAAAGCCACGGCUAACUACGUG
RNAcentral lists this ribosomal RNA (497 nucleotides) under uncultured bacterium. RNAcentral describes it as "partial 16S ribosomal RNA". It matches the Rfam family "Bacterial small subunit ribosomal RNA", at positions 28 to 507 of the family's 1533-position model. The record is from RNAcentral.